RNAcentral lists this ribosomal RNA (1209 nucleotides) under uncultured fungus. RNAcentral's name for it is "eukaryotic LSU rRNA". The stretch from base 533 to 1209 matches the Rfam family "Eukaryotic large subunit ribosomal RNA", at positions 1 to 686 of the family's 3401-position model. Lineage: Eukaryota; Fungi. The record is from RNAcentral.
CACUGUGGAAUUCGCCCUUCUUGGUCAUUUAGAGGAAGUAAAAGUCGUAACAAGGUUUCCGUAGGUGAACCUGCGGAAGGAUCAUUAAAGUUAGCGUGCGCUACCCAGCGCUGCUUGACACACACUGCUGAUUCUAGGGGCGACCCUAGGGGCUGCUUGCAGCCGAAACACUUUUUUAUGGAAAACACAUCAGAAUAACAUAAUAUUCAAAACUUUCAACAACGGAUCUCUUGGUUCUCGCAACGAUGAAGAACGCAGCGAAUUGCGAUAAGUAUUGUGAAUUGCAGAUUUCGUGAAUCAUCGAAUCUUUGAACGCACAUUGCGCCUUCUGGUAUUCCAGAAGGCAUGCUUGUUUGAGCGUCAUUACAAUCUCACAUCCCCUGGGUUCUCCCCUGGGGCCUGUGGUAAUGACUGGUGUGGGCCUGCCCACUAAGUUGAAAUAGCCCGCUGGCGCUACUGCCGAUACACUACGUACUAGGUUCUACCAACUCCGUCGUGUGGCACGCCGCCCCAGCGCACACAAUCACAACUUUGACCUCAAAUCAAGUAGGACUACCCGCUGAACUUAAGCAUAUCAAUAAGCGGAGGAAAAGAAACCAACAGGGAUUGCCUCAGUAACGGCGAGUGAAGCGGCAAGAGCUCAAAUUUGAAAACUGGCACCCCCGGUGCCCGUGUUGUAAUUUGAAGAGUGGUGCUUUGGGGACGGCCUUUAUCUAUGUUCCUUGGAACAGGACGUCACAGAGGGUGAGAAUCCCGUGUGGUGAGGUGCCCGGCCCUGUGUAAAGCCCGCUCGAAGAGUCGAGUUGUUUGGGAAUGCAGCUCUAAGUGGGUGGUAAAUUCCAUCUAAAGCUAAAUACUGGCGAGAGACCGAUAGCGAACAAGUACUGUGAAGGAAAGAUGAAAAGAACUUUGAAAAGAGAGUGAAAAAGUACGUGAAAUUGUUGAAAGGGAAGGAUAUUAGAUCAGACUUGGCCUGCGGUGAUUAUCUUCCCCUUGUGGGUUGUGCACUCGCCGCUUGCUGGGCUAGCAUCAGUUGGUGCGGCAGGAAAACCGUGCGAGAACGUGGCUUUCCCCCCGGGGAGAGUGUUAUAGCUCGCGCUCCUACUGCCUGCGCCGACUGAGGACUGCGUCGUUUGANCUAGGAUGCUGGCGUAAUGAUCUAAUAUCGCCCGUCUUGAAAUCACGGACCAAGGGCGAAUUCCACAUUGG